Molecule: long non-coding RNA, 961 nt
Organism: Oncorhynchus tshawytscha (Chinook salmon)
Lineage: Eukaryota; Metazoa; Chordata; Actinopteri; Salmoniformes; Salmonidae
Source: Ensembl
CAGCUAUCCAGGAACACUGAACAAACAAUCUGACUCAACGUCCAGUCAGAGAGGGGAGAAGAACUGAAAGACGCGUCUAUUUACAGACCAACAGGAGGCUGCCAUUGUGUAAAUAGUAGUUGAAAAUAAUGCCACAAGACUACGAGAAAUCCAGCAACAGAUUAUUGAAAACCCUGCCAUCUUCCUUAACAUCAGAGUGAGCUUAUCAACCAUCCUUAAUUAAGAAACACCAUCUUUGGAUGAAGCAAAUCUACAGAGUCCCGUUUGAAAGGAAUUCCCAAAGAGUGAAGGAUAAACGGUACGUGCAAGUAAGUAAUGAGAAUCAUGGAGUUGGAUGCAAGUCCUAUCCCCAAAGAACUCAUAUUCACCGAUGAUGCUGAGUUCAAUUUAGAGAAGACAUGGAGGAGAGGAAGGAACAUCCUUGGUCAACGCGCCCUCAUUGAGGUACCUGACCAGCGCGGGGCAAAUGUCGUCAUAUGCACAGCAAUGAGCCACAAUGGGGUAAUCCACUGCCAUGCCACCCUUGGACCAUAAAACACUGCCCAAAUCCUUCAUUUCCCGAACACCUUACAUGACAAUCUUUUCAGCCAGAGCAGAUAGGGCCAGGUGAUCCUGAACAGCAAAUGUAUGUUCUGAUUUGGGACAACGUGAGUUUUCUUCGGGCUGCUCAGGUCCACAACUCCUUCCAUGACCAUCCCUGGUUUACAAUUCUUUAUCUCUCACCAUAUUCCCCAUUUCUCAACUCCACUGAGGAGUUGUUUUCAGCACGGCGGUUGAAGGUGUAUGAUCACAAACCCCAUGAACGUAUGGCCCUUCUCCAGGCAAUGGAGGAGGCCUGUGGUGACAUUUCAACAGAGUUCUGUCAGGUGUGGAGGCGUCAUGACAGAAGAUAUUUCCUGCGCUGUCUGGCCAAGGAGAAUAUUGCCUGUGAUAUUGGUGAAAAUCUGUGGCCGGACCAAAA